Molecule: non-coding RNA, 27 nt
Filed under: Mus musculus (house mouse)
Lineage: Eukaryota; Metazoa; Chordata; Mammalia; Rodentia; Muridae
Source: RNAcentral
UGGGGAUCGACCAGAUCUGGUGUUGAC